AGCUUUGUAGUUUUUGAAAAAUAUUUAUUUGUGGUAUAAAAGAUAUAAUGGCUAUAAAUUUAAUUUUUUUUAAUAUUA
This 78-nucleotide transfer RNA is filed under the name Mecistocirrus digitatus. RNAcentral's name for it is "tRNA-His". The record is from RNAcentral. Lineage: Eukaryota; Metazoa; Nematoda; Chromadorea; Rhabditida; Trichostrongylidae.